RNAcentral lists this long non-coding RNA (251 nucleotides) under Gallus gallus (chicken). Lineage: Eukaryota; Metazoa; Chordata; Aves; Galliformes; Phasianidae. The record is from RNAcentral.
AUAUGAGAAAAUGGAACUGAGAGACCCUGCGAAGGAGGAGAUCCCUGAGAAAAAGCGCAACACCAGCCAGAAGCUCAGCCUCGGAUACCUGCACAUGGCCGUCAGACAGAAGGCUGCUCUUCAUUAACAUCCGUCGUUGCCGUCAUCCUCCCUACGGCUUCUCCUGUAAGAAGAUGUGGAAGAAGAGAAACUGAGCACAAAGCUGCCACCAUAUGUGCAAAAACCCCUGCAGAAUAAAAAGUCCUGCUCAG